GAUGAGCGCUAGCGGCAGGCUUAACACAUGCAAGUCGAGGGGCAACACGGGUAGCAAUACCUGGUGGCGACCGGCGCAAGGGUGCGUAACGCGUGAGCAACAUGCCCUAUACAGGGGGAUAAUCCAGGGAAACUUGGUCUAAUAUCCCAUAGUAUUUAGAGGAGGCAUCUUCUAUAAAUUAAAGCUUCGGUGGUAUAGGAUUGGCUCGCGUGACAUUAGCUAGAUGGUGAGGUAACGGCUCACCAUGGCAAUGAUGUCUAGGGGUUCUGAGAGGAACGGCCCCCCACACUGGGACUGAGACACGGCCCAGACUCCUACGGGAGGCAGCAGUCGAGAAUAGUCUACAAUGGUCGGAAGACUGAUAGUGCGACGCCGCGUGAACGAUGAAUCCCUUCGGGGUUAAAGUUCUUUUAAUGUGAGCAGUGCUUCUUAUAUUAACAGUAUGGGGGAAGAGAUAUUAGCAUAUGAAUAAGCAAAC
Molecule: ribosomal RNA, 478 nt
Filed under: uncultured bacterium
Lineage: Bacteria
Description: bacterial SSU rRNA
Rfam family: Bacterial small subunit ribosomal RNA
Source: RNAcentral